Tympanuchus pallidicinctus (lesser prairie-chicken) is the source of this 609-nucleotide long non-coding RNA. RefSeq lists it as uncharacterized. Lineage: Eukaryota; Metazoa; Chordata; Aves; Galliformes; Phasianidae. The transcript is spliced from 3 exons. The record is from RefSeq and is a predicted model, not a curated record.
UCUAUGGAUCAUCCCUCUCUUUCCUGGCCAGGGAAUCCUGUAUUUCAUGGUUUCCCAGCAUCAGUUAGACUUGAAGAAUCUCCUUCCCUGAGAAUAUAUCUACCUCACAGUGUGGGCACUGUCACUUCUGCCCAUGCAGACUUAAAACUGGAAACUUCAGGCUAUCUGAUUGUAUUGCCCUACAAUCAAAUGGCAUUUGAGAUGCAUGGGAGAUCUAUGUGCUACUAGCUGAGAUGUCCUCACCAUUGGAGAAGCAAUUAACAAAAUCCCUGACUGGAGUCUAUGAAGCAUCUGUUAAGGAAGUAUAAAAGGUUAACUUAAAUCCCAGCACACAGUUGUCAGACUAGAACAAAUCAGCAUGGAGAAUUACCUGGAGGCACCACAAGGGUAAGGUGGAGCAUAUGUGUGGUAAAAAGGUUGUUUAUGACUAGCAGAAUUAAUUUUCCAGGAUGAGAAGGUCAGACAUGCACAAAUGAAGGCUGUCUGUGAUGAGUAGAGGCUGUUUUAGGCUCUGGAUUUCACCUGGCAAGCACCAAGGUAUAUUUCAUUGGUGUAUCCAAACUCAAAACACUUAAAGUUGUGAUUUCAGAGGUGCCAAUGAAUGUUGUC